UACAGAGGGUGCGAACGUUGCUCGGAAUUACUGGGCGUAAAGCGCGUGUAGGCGGGUCGGCAAGUCAGGCGUGAAAUCCCCAGGCUCAACCUGGGAACUGCGCUUGAAACUGCCGGUCUUGAGUAUCGGAGAGGGUGGCGGAAUUCCUGGUGUAGAGGUGAAAUUCGUAGAUAUUGGGAAGAACACCGGUGGCGAAGGCGGCCAUCUGGACCGGUAUUGACGCUGAGGCGCGAAAGCGUGGGGAGCAAACAGG
Molecule: ribosomal RNA, 253 nt
Filed under: uncultured bacterium
Lineage: Bacteria
Description: partial 16S ribosomal RNA
Rfam family: Bacterial small subunit ribosomal RNA
Source: RNAcentral